RNAcentral lists this ribosomal RNA (464 nucleotides) under uncultured Glomus. Its description in RNAcentral is "SSU rRNA". It matches the Rfam family "Eukaryotic small subunit ribosomal RNA", at positions 623 to 1088 of the family's 1831-position model. The record is from RNAcentral. Lineage: Eukaryota; Fungi; Glomeromycota; Glomeromycetes; Glomerales; Glomeraceae.
AAAGCUCGUAGUUGAAUUUCGGGAUCAGUACGCUGGUCAUGCCUUUGGUAUGCACUGGUGUCACUGGUUUCUCCCUUCUGAAGAACCGUGAUGUCAUUAAUUUGGUGUCGCGGGGAAUCAGGACUGUUACUUUGAAAAAAUUAGAGUGUUUAAAGCAGGCUCGCGCUUGAAUACAUUAGCAUGGAAUAAUGAAAUAGGACGUUUGACCCUAUUUUGUUGGUUUCUAGGAUCGACGUAAUGAUUAAUAGGGAUAGUUGGGGGCAUUAGUAUUCAAUUGUCAGAGGUGAAAUUCUUGGAUUUAUUGAAGACUAACUACUGCGAAAGCAUUUGCCAAGGAUGUUUUCAUUAAUCAAGAACGAAAGUUAGGGGAUCGAAGACGAUCAGAUACCGUCGUAGUCUUAACCAUAAACUAUGCCGACUAGGGAUCGGAUGAUGUUAAUUUUAUAAUGACUCAUUCGGCACCU